AGUCACUGACAUUAGAUACCCGGGUAGUCCAGGAUGUAAACGCUGCAGACUUGGUGUUGGAAGCCCUUUGGGGGCAUUCAGUGCCGGAGAGAAGUUGUUAAGUCUGCUACUUGGGGAGUACGUCCGCAAGGAUGAAACUUAAAGGAAUUGGCGGGGGAGCACCGCAACGGGAGGAGCGUGCGGUUUAAUUGGAUUCAACACCGUAAAACUCACCAGGGAAGACUGUUACAUGAAGGCCGAGAUGAAGACUCUGCUAGAUUUUCAG
This 265-nucleotide ribosomal RNA is filed under the name uncultured archaeon. RNAcentral's name for it is "partial 16S ribosomal RNA". It matches the Rfam family "Archaeal small subunit ribosomal RNA", at positions 719 to 982 of the family's 1478-position model. The record is from RNAcentral.